Non-coding RNA from Nothobranchius furzeri (turquoise killifish), 581 nucleotides. The record is from RefSeq and is a predicted model, not a curated record. Lineage: Eukaryota; Metazoa; Chordata; Actinopteri; Cyprinodontiformes; Nothobranchiidae.
UUCCAGACUGAAUAAGCUGAAUUAUUUUAUUUUGAGGAAUGCACUUUUGAUCUGUAUGGCAGCUUUUUUGUAAUGUUAUCAUAUGCCAGACUCAUUAAGUUUCCAUUAAAGAGCGGGUCAAUUGAGCCUCGGAGUCCUUCUCCACCCACGUAUCAAUUUAAAAAAAUGCAACAUUAGUAAGCGUUGCCUGGAGGACCGAGAGGGCGGAGCCGCGGCAGUGACGAAGACGACGACUAACUAGACGAUGCUAGCUCCCUUCACUCUAUGCAGUUAUUAGAAAUGGAGGACGUUUCUCCCCCUCCUUACCCAGACACUCGAGAAGAAAGGGACCAAGUCUAUUUGGAGGAGACAAGCGGACCUGAGCCUUAUUGUUGUGAGCUUGUGAGUUGCCUGUAACUCCCAGAACCGACCCAACAGAACCACCUCUGAAUGUCCUCUGGUGUCUGCAGCUGGUCUCUGGUGUCUGCAGCUGGUCUCCUCUGCUGGUGUCGUCAGGAUCAGGAGCUUCCAGAAGAAUGUGCCUUUCAAUGACUCUUUCCCCCUUAUUUGUUAUAUUAAUUAAAUAAAUCUCAAUUUAUAUA